CGGGUUGUGAGAGCAAGAGCCCGGAGAUGGAUUUUGAGACAUGAAUCCAGGCCCUACGGGGCGCAGCAGGCGCGAAAACUUUACAAUGCGGGAAACCGCGAUAAGGGCCACUGAGUGCCAGCAUCUUAUGUUGGCUGUCCGCAUGUUUAAAAAGCAUGUGUUAGCAAGGGCUGGGCAAGACCGGCGCCAGCCGCCGCGGUAACACCGGCAGCCCGAGUGGUGAUCACUAUUAUUGGGUCUAAAGGGUCCGUAGCCGGUUUGAUCAGUCUUUUGGGAAAUCUGACAGCUUAACUGUUAGGCUUCCAAAGGAUACUGUCAGACUUGGGACCGGGAGAGGUAAGAGGUACUCCAGGGGUAGGAGUGAAAUCUUGUAAUCCCUGUGGGACCACCAGUGGCGAAGGCGUCUUACCAGAACGGGUCCGACGGUGAGGGACGAAAGCUGGGGGCACGAACCGGAUUAGAUACCCGGGUAGUCCCAGCCGUAAACGAUGCUCGCUAGGUGUCAGGAAUGGUGCGACCGUUUCUGGUGCCGUAGGGAAGCCGUGAAGCGAGCCACCUGGGAAGUACGGCCGCAAGGCUGAAACUUAAAGGAAUUGGCGGGGGAGCACUACAACGGGUGGAGCCUGCGGUUUAAUUGGAUUCAACGCCGG
This 650-nucleotide ribosomal RNA is filed under the name uncultured archaeon. Its description in RNAcentral is "bacterial SSU rRNA". It matches the Rfam family "Archaeal small subunit ribosomal RNA", at positions 270 to 921 of the family's 1478-position model. The record is from RNAcentral.